GGAAAGGCGCGCGAUACAGGGUGACAGCCCCGUACACAAAAAUGCACAUGCUGUGAGCUCGAUGAGUAGGGCGGGACACGUGGUAUCCUGUCUGAAUAUGGGGGGACCAUCCUCCAAGGCUAAAUACUCCUGACUGACCGAUAGUGAACCAGUACCGUGAGGGAAAGGCGAAAAGAACCCCGGCGAGGGGAGUGAAAAAGAACCUGAAACCGUGUACGUACAAGCAGUGGGAGCACGCUUAGGCGUGUGACUGCGUACCUUUUGUAUAAUGGGUCAGCGACUUAUAUUCUGUAGCAAGGUUAACCGAAUAGGGGAGCCGAAGGGAAACCGAGUCUUAACUGGGCGUUAAGUUGCAGGGUAUAGACCCGAAACCCGGUGAUCUAGCCAUGGGCAGGUUGAAGGUUGGGUAACACUAACUGGAGGACCGAACCGACUAAUGUUGAAAAAUUAGCGGAUGACUUGUGGCUGGGGGUGAAAGGCCAAUCAAACCGGGAGAUAGCUGGUUCUCCCCGAAAGCUAUUUAGGUAGCGCCUCGUGAAUUCAUCUCCGGGGGUAGAGCACUGUUUCGGCAAGGGGGUCAUCCCGACUUACCAACCCGAUGCAAACUGCGAAUACCGGAGAAUGUUAUCACGGGAGACACACGGCGGGUGCUAACGUCCGUCGUGAAGAGGGAAACAACCCAGACCGCCAGCUAAGGUCCCAAAGUCAUGGUUAAGUGGGAAACGAUGUGGGAAGGCCCAGACAGCCAGGAUGUUGGCUUAGAAGCAGCCAUCAUUUAAAGAAAGCGUAAUAGCUCACUGGUCGAGUCGGCCUGCGCGGAAGAUGUAACGGGGCUAAACCAUGCACCGAAGCUGCGGCAGCGACGCUGAUGCGUUGUUGGGUAGGGGAGCGUUCUGUAAGCCUGUGAAGGUGUGCUGUGAGGCAUGCUGGAGGUAUCAGAAGUGCGAAUGCUGACAUAAGUAACGAUAAAGCGGGUGAAAAGCCCGCUCGCCGGAAGACCAAGGGUUCCUGUCCAACGUUAAUCGGGGCAGGGUGAGUCGACCCCUAAGGCGAGGCCGAAAGGCGUAGUCGAUGGGAAACAGGUUAAUAUUCCUGUACUUGGUGUUACUGCGAAGGGGGGACGGAGAAGGCUAUGUUGGCCGGGCGACGGUUGUCCCGGUUUAAGCGUGUAGGCUGGUUUUCCAGGCAAAUCCGGAAAAUCAAGGCUGAGGCGUGAUGACGAGGCACUACGGUGCUGAAGCAACAAAUGCCCUGCUUCCAGGAAAAGCCUCUAAGCAUCAGGUAACAUCAAAUCGUACCCCAAACCGACACAGGUGGUCAGGUAGAGAAUACCAAGGCGCUUGAGAGAACUCGGGUGAAGGAACUAGGCAAAAUGGUGCCGUAACUUCGGGAGAAGGCACGCUGAUAUGUAGGUGAAGUCCCUCGCGGAUGGAGCUGAAAUCAGUCGAAGAUACCAGCUGGCUGCAACUGUUUAUUAAAAACACAGCACUGUGCAAACACGAAAGUGGACGUAUACGGUGUGACGCCUGCCCGGUGCCGGAAGGUUAAUUGAUGGGGUUAGCGCAAGCGAAGCUCUUGAU
RNAcentral lists this ribosomal RNA (1580 nucleotides) under Escherichia coli. Its description in RNAcentral is "partial 23S ribosomal RNA". It matches the Rfam family "Bacterial large subunit ribosomal RNA", at positions 344 to 1912 of the family's 2925-position model. The record is from RNAcentral. Lineage: Bacteria; Pseudomonadati; Pseudomonadota; Gammaproteobacteria; Enterobacterales; Enterobacteriaceae.